CCCGGCCGCCAGGGUUUCUAGGAAGAUAGGAAGGGUUUGAGAUCCUCUGUGGUCGAAUGGGAGCGUUGGCUGUCACUCACGGUGUUUACACGCUGGUAACACAAUCCCCUGAAACCUCAAGCUUGCGCCAGUCCGGGGAGGGCCUUAGCCACAGGUGAAAUUCUCUGAACUCCGCCGCUUCUGCCCCCACCCCACCGCCCCAGGCUGGACCAAGUGAAUUGGACUCGGUCUGCUUUAUUAAUGGCAUGGGCCCUAAAGGAAUGAGCUGGGUUUGAUUUCUCUUCCCAAGUACAAGAAUGCCCCUGAGGAAUUUCUCACUCUGUGAAAGCGCAAAACUAAUUUCCCCAGACAGGCGCUGUUGCCGGUUCCCAAAAGGGCUUGGAAAGAUCCCAGCAGGAAUGCUCAGUGGUUCCAAAUCUCUUCACCCGAGCCGCUGGAUAUGCAGACACUGACCACCAAGAACUUCUUGGUAGGUGGACACACGUCCUUCCCAGACAGGCCUUCUUUUUAGAGUAUCUCAGGCCCCCAUGUUAUGGAGAUUUUGGAAUCAGCCAGAGAAUGCACAACCACGAACUCAUACAGACACAGCACAAAUGUAACAGUUCUCUAGAUUCAAGUGGCUCUGCAACUCAGUUUGACAGGGUCCAUUGGGUGCCAAGCACGAUGACAGAAAAAGACCCCACUGAGGCAUAUCGCUGUGAAAUUUUAGAACCCUAGAGAUGAAGAAAAAAAAUCCUAAAAACUUCCCAAGACACAAGAACUGAGCUGCUGACCACAAGAAAAUACUGCAUACAAAAGAGGGCUUACUGGAGUUGACUAGAGCUUAGCCACCCUCUACUUUCGAGUGUUUUGGUUGUCUUGAGCCCUACCCCCACCAGUUACCUAAUGAAGACAUUGCCUUGUGGAGGACCAUCAUCUCUUCUGAGAUUUUAGGGGAUUUUGAUAUUUGCCUGAUGUCUAGUAUGCGCUUGUCAUCGUACGAAGUCAUUGUCUUACGGCGUCUUGCAGAGGCCGCGUACUGAUUCUUCUCUUGUCUUCAUGUUGCACAACCAAUCCGUUGGCGAUUCUCUUGGCUCUUCUGGGGCGUGCCUGGGUGGCUCAGUCGAUCGAGCAAUUGAGCAUCAGACUUCAGCUGGGGUUAUGAUC
Molecule: long non-coding RNA, 1146 nt
Organism: Leopardus geoffroyi (Geoffroy's cat)
Lineage: Eukaryota; Metazoa; Chordata; Mammalia; Carnivora; Felidae
Exons: 3
Source: RefSeq, a predicted model, not a curated record